AAAUCUGACUUUAUUGCAGUAUGAAAAGGAACCAGAAUAUCCAACAGUUCUUUGUUAGCAAGAAAAGCUGAUGAAGACAGUGAACUGAUCAGAGCAGCUGACGUUAGCAGUACCAGCAGUGGUUCAGAUAAUGUUAGCGAGUCAGAUCAGGAUGAUGACAGGCAGGGUAAAGCGACUGAGCUAGCAGCUUCACCUGAUGACCUGGAUUCAGACAAGGGUACUGGAGACACUUCAGAUCCUUACAGAGACAUCUCCCAAUCAAGGGCAGCAGAUCCAACUCAACCUGUGCUAGGAUGUUUCCCAAGACCACACAAGGUCAGAAAAGAAGGGCA
Carassius auratus (goldfish) is the source of this 332-nucleotide long non-coding RNA. RefSeq lists it as uncharacterized. Lineage: Eukaryota; Metazoa; Chordata; Actinopteri; Cypriniformes; Cyprinidae. The transcript has 3 exons. The record is from RefSeq and is a predicted model, not a curated record.